This 248-nucleotide unclassified non-coding RNA is filed under the name Hevea brasiliensis (rubber tree). The record is from RNAcentral. Lineage: Eukaryota; Viridiplantae; Streptophyta; Magnoliopsida; Malpighiales; Euphorbiaceae.
GAUUGCCAGUGAAGUGCUAUAAAGCCAAUGACAAGAUCAAAGACUGUACAGGAGAACCGAAUGAGAGCUUUCAUGUAUUAAUGAGAACAAUGAUUACAUGAAAGUUAAUAUGCUAGCCUUGGGGGGAGAGCCCCCAAUACAGAGAUCUGAAUGCUUGCUGACAAUUCCGAUUACUAGACCCUCCUUAUAUAUGUCCUUAAAAAAUAUACCCAAGUUACAGGUAUUGACAUAAGUAAGCUGGAAAGACA